CAAAAAAAUAACACUCUAAUAGUUAUAAAUUUUAAAAACACAGUGUUGUAUGAGAAAUUGCCAUUUUUAACCACUAGAUGGCAGCGGAAGAUCACUAAUGGGCUCAUUCAACUAACUUAAACAGUACUGUUCAAAGGUUUUAUGGAUUCAUGUCAAAACAUUUUAAAACCACUGUUAUAACAUUUAAAAUCUCAUUGAGUCAAAGUUUGUCAGCCAUACAUCCAGGUUGGCCGAGACCACCCCAAAGGUCUUAAAGUGCUUGAACCCCGGUAAUCGCUGCUUGCAGCUAUAUUUAUUAUUAUUAUUCUUCCGCCUUAAAACUGAACGGGCAGCCCAAACCGUAAGGCCUAGAGAGCUGAAACUUGGUCAAAAGGUAGUAGUCUUGCUCGCUACUCAGGCGCAAAGAACCGGCCCAAUCGGCCUAACGGGGGCGCUACAGCGCAAAAUACAAAAAUUUCAGACAUUUUUGGCCCGCAGUCGUAAACCGUUUGACGUAGACUCAAAAACUUUACAUCAUUGUAAUCCUUGGGUCAGUCCGAACAAAAGUGGAGUCCGAAAUUUUUGCUCUACGACGCACGGUUUUUCCGCAAAAUUGACCUAUAGCCCAAACCUACUUUUGCGAACUAGUCCUAGGUUUUUCACCCGAUCAGAACCAAACCACUGCAGAAAUAUUCUCUGGACACUCAUUAUCAAUAAUUAUCAAAAAAAAG
Molecule: long non-coding RNA, 710 nt
Organism: Cyprinus carpio carpio
Lineage: Eukaryota; Metazoa; Chordata; Actinopteri; Cypriniformes; Cyprinidae
Source: Ensembl